This 464-nucleotide ribosomal RNA is filed under the name uncultured bacterium. Its description in RNAcentral is "partial 16S ribosomal RNA". It matches the Rfam family "Bacterial small subunit ribosomal RNA", at positions 28 to 507 of the family's 1533-position model. The record is from RNAcentral.
GACGAACGCUGGCGGCGUGCUUAACACAUGCAAGUCGAACGGAAAGGCCCCUUUGGGGGUCCUCGAGUGGCGAACGGGUGAGUAACACGUGAGUAACCUGCCCUUGACUUCGGGAUAACUUCAGGAAACUGGGGCUAAUACCGGAUAGGAAUCCUUGCUGCAUGGUGGGGGUUGGAAAGCUUCGGCGGUUUUGGAUGGACUCGCGGCUUAUCAGCUUGUUGGUGGGGUAGUGGCUUACCAAGGCUUUGACGGGUAGCCGGCCUGAGAGGGCGACCGGCCACAUUGGGACUGGGAUAGGGCCAGACUCCUACGGGAGGCAGCAGUGGGGAAUAUUGCACAAUGGGCGGAAGCCUGAUGCAGCAACGCCGCGUGCGGGAUGACGGCCUUCGGGUUGUAAACCGCUUUCAGCAGGGGCGAAGCUUGUGGUGACGGUACCUGCAGAAGAAGCACCGGCUAACUACGUG